AUUGAACGCUGGCGGCAGGCCUAACACAUGCCAGUCGAGCGGUAACAGGGAUCAGCUUGCUGAUUCGCUGACGAGUGGCGGACGGGUGAGUAAUGUCUGGGAAACUGCCUGAUGGAGGGGGAUAACUACUGGAAACGGUAGCUAAUACCGCAUAACGUCGCAAGACCAAAGAGGGGGACCUUCGGGCCUCUUGCCAUCGGAUGUGCCCAGAUGGGAUUAGCUAGUAGGUGGGGUAACGGCUCACCUAGGCGACGAUCCCUAGCUGGUCUGAGAGGAUGACCAGCCACACUGGAACUGAGACACGGUCCAGACUCCUACGGGAGGCAGCAGUGGGGAAUAUUGCACAAUGGGCGCAAGCCUGAUGCAGCCAUGCCGCGUGUAUGAAGAAGGCCUUCGGGUUGUAAAGUACUUUCAGCGGGGAGGAAGGGAGUAAAGUUAAUACCUUUGCUCAUUGACGUUACCCGCAGAAGAAGCACCGGCUAACUCCGUG
Molecule: ribosomal RNA, 490 nt
Filed under: uncultured bacterium
Lineage: Bacteria
Description: partial 16S ribosomal RNA
Rfam family: Bacterial small subunit ribosomal RNA
Source: RNAcentral